CUUUCAGCAAGAUGGAAAAUAAGAGUAACUCCAAUUACCUAAUUCAGACAAGCCGUGAUAGAAUGUUGUGGCAAGUGCAAUAGAAUUCGUAAAGAAAUUUAGAUGGUUGACAAUAAUGUCGUUAGUAGAAAGCUUAAAACGACUACGGUUUAAGAGGGAAAAAGAAAAAUACAAAAUUCCAAAAAAAAAGGGACUAGAAAAACAUGCUCCAGAUAAUACUUGGGCAGUAAAAAGAUAUCUCUCUCUAACACCGCCUACAAGUAAUAAUCAUUGACGAAAAAUAUGGCGUGGAACUAGGAAGCUUCCGAGUUAUCUACAGUCUAUUCAACUAUCACCCAGGAGAGCCCAUAAACCAAUGCAAAAGUCACCCUAAAAACUGAAUAACAACAAGGUGUCCUAACCAGCUAAUAAAUGAUAACCAUGAAAAACAAAAUGGGACAGGUAAACAACGAUAACAGUAAUUACUUGGAAAGGACAACCCUAUAUAAAAGGACCAAACAGAGGGAAUAUGUAACAGUGACAAUGGUCACAACAAUCCGAAUAGUCAAAAUCAUUAACUGUAUGUCUUCCAAGGCAAUCAGAUCUGGUAAUGAUAAAAUGCACCAAUGGACACCAACGAAGCUCUUUUCUUUUAAAAGAUUUUCUACACUUGGUGAUGGUCAAAGUGGAAGGAAAAAGGGCGGUGAUGGGAUAUGAGCUCACACACCUAUUGCGAGGUUAACACCGUACUACUAGACUAUGAGCCUUUGUUGGCGACAAUGAAGAUCAAUCAUCACAUUUGGCAGAUCCCGGAAUGAGAUUUGCAGGGUAACAGACACACAAUGCAUCAGCUAAGGAAGUUUGAUACAACAAGAACUACGCCAUACGAAUCCUCACUGGCCACAUACUCCGUGUAAAUCAUAUCAAGCCAAUAUUAUUGCAAUUACCAGCUAAGGGAGUUUGAAAUUAUCAAAAUCCAUGUUAGCUAUAUAAAUCCAAUUAAGACAUUUAACCAUAACACCACAUCAAACUUGCAAUAAAUUUCACGACAUUGCCAAGAUUUUUGAUAAUUAAUACAUAUUCAAACAAUGCAUAAAGAUUCAAAAAGAUUUCAACUUUCCACUACUUACCUAAGUAGCAAAGAUCCUAGCCGUUGAUGCGCCCUAAAAUAUGACGGAUCCAAUCUAAUGGCUUCCUCACAUUCCUUCACAGCCUCCGCCACCCGUUUAAGACCCAUCAAUGCAGCUGCCCGAUUACAAUGGUAUGCAGAAUUUUCAGGCGAAAUCGCUAUAGCUUUAUCGUAAUAAUUCAAAGCCUCAGCAAAAUUACCCUUCUUAUAAUUCACAUUCCCUACUCUCUUCAACUCUUCUGGAUUUGAUGCAAACUGCGAGUAAGUUUUUUCUUUUACGGCAUUGGCAGCACCGCUAAUAUCAACCCCACCGCCCCGAAUUAUGCUGCCAAUGCCGUAAUUUCCGGUUCUUGACCCAAAAACAUCAGUCUUUGAAGAUUUGCUUGGAAUAGCUGUUUUUAAAAUUUUACCUGAAGGGCAAAUAUUGCCUGUGGGGAGUGAAUUUAAAGCAGGGGAAUUUACAGAGCCUCUACCGGAGUAGAUUAGCGGUUGAGAAUCGGACCGGGACCUGGUAUGGCCUGGUUUGAACCGACGUGAGCUAUCUACUGAACCGGAAAGUUCACCGGAGUGAUUCGUAUUGAACCUGUUAGGAUUCGGGUAGGAACCAUUCUGACCCGACAUUGAUCCGGAUGAGCUGGAGCUGCUGCUUGUUGAAGUUGUAACUCCAUUAGAUUUGGGGCGGGUUGAAACAGGUGAACUCAGAUCCAGUUCCCUGAAAUCCGGCUUGUUAAUGUCGGUGGGGUCGUUGUUAAAUUCAUUGAAGCUCAGUGAGUUUUUCAACCGAUCAGUUAACCCAUUAAGACCCAUUUCUGACAUUGGGUUUUUAGUUUAGAAAUGGGGAAGGAAAUGCUGAAAGAGAAGAUUUGAAGAACUGUACAUAGAAAGAGAGAGAAAGGGAAGGGAAAAGAAAGAGAAAAAGAGAUGGGGAUCUUGUGAUAUAUAAAAGGCAGAAGCAAAGAAUGAAUGCGAGCGCUGGCCUGCCAAAAUAGAGAGAGGAAACGAACAAGUGAAAGUAAGUUUUUUCCUUUUUCACUAUACUUUACAGAGAGAAAUGGGGUUUUACAGAGAGUAAUGGGUUUUACAGAGAUAGACCAAGGAAGGGAAAGAAUAAAAGAAAAACAAUGUAAUUUAUUACCCACUCCUAUAAUUUUAUCAAUUCCCAAAAUUCAAAUCAAAACUCUUCAUAAAAAUUACAAACAACAAAAAAACCAAUAAUUUCCUGUACCCAUUCACCUCUAUCCUAGUAAUAACAGCAAAUAAAAAUAAGACCGAAGUCAAAAAUAAUUAAACUCACUAUAAAUUUAUAAAUUAAAAACUGAGUAAGGAUCUUCAUAAAAAUUAAAAUCAAUGUAAUCUAAUAAACACCUUUACCAAUUAACUUUUCUUUUUAGACAUUGUUUGAAAUAUAUUUUAAUUAUAAAUAUUUCGGCUGGAACUGAAUGGGGAAUAAAUGGAAAGAGGUAAGAUUAACUGCUCUUUUAUUAAAUCUAACCAUGAUGACUGAGCAUUAUAGUUUCCUAAAUGUGAUUAGAGAACCUUAAAGCGGAAAUAUAUUUAUUGGUUUCUUUUUAAAUAAGAAAAAGAAAAUGGAUACCGAAGUAGGGGCAAAAGAGUAAAAGCAGGGGUACAGUUCUUGAGAGUAGUAGCUGGCCAUGUGCUUGAGAGCGGCAUGCCAGCUAGGCCCAUUCAGCAAUACCAAGGUGUUUGCAAUGAUGUCCAGCUUUGCACAUAACGGAUGGAGAUAACGGUGUCAUUCGUGACGCAAAUUCAUAUUUCCUGGGAAAAAAUUGGUUAAUUACGUGAAAUACCCCUAAAGAUAUCAAUCAGUUUCAAUACAGGUCUUAUACUUUAAAUUUAAGUAGGUACACAGUUACACCCUCUAUACUAUGAGGUAUAUCUGUAGCACGUAUAUUAAAAUGUAAUUAUUAAAACAUUAAAAAAAGUUUUGAACUAUUUAAUUUUUAAGAAAUAUAAAAAAAAGGAUAAAUCUGUUUUUAUAAAAAAAUAUUUAAGCCUUUGAUUAAAAAGGGAAUAUUUAUUUUCGAAAUAUGUAAUAUUUUAAAACUCAUGAAUAGGAAAUAAUAAAAAAAAGAUCUUGCACUUUAAAUAUGUAAGGUAGUAUAUAUAUUUUUAUUUAAUAAUGAUAUUUUUGUCUAUGGGAAUUUCUCAUUUUUAUUACUAAAAUAUUGUAUGAGCUAUUUAUAUAAUAUAAAAACAAUUACUCUCUAUGUUUUAAUUUAUUUGUCUUAAUUUUAUUGGGCACAAUAUUUAAGAAUAUAAGGAAGACAUUUAAAUGUUGUGGUCUUAAGCUGAAGAUAUAUAUAAUGUAUCAAAAUAUCCUUAAAUUUUAUGAUCAUAAAUAUGAUAUGUGAAAAGUUGAAGUCAAAGAGUUAUUAAAUAUAAAAAUAUAUUAUUUAAAAGAACAAAAACUAAUUUUUAAUAUUUGAAAAAAAUGGAAUAUCAAACCAAUUGAAAUACUGAAUUCUUAAAUUUAACUUUUAAGUGUCUUUGGAAUAUUCGGAAGGAGGUUGGGUCAAUUGGGGUGGAGCAGUAAGUCGGAGACAGGGGAGAAGUAGCUAUCACGGGCUAGGUGUUGGCAGAGACAUGGAAUUAUGAUCUCGCCACUAUCCUGCCAGGUCAGCAUAUAUAUUCACUCCUCUCUCCAGAGGCAUGGGCUGUUAUCAGGUGCACUACGCUCCACUCUGAGACAGUGAUCCUUUGGCUUUAUCCCAACAUGGGCAUGCAUUUUACAAGUAUAACAAAUAAAGGACUGCUGAUUUGGCAACAUGUGAUCACCAUGCUGCUAUUGGGCCCACUCUUAUGACGUGGCUUACCUAUACACUAUUAUGUUGGAUGAGCAUAAUGUAUAAAUAUGCCCUCAAACUUGGCAUUAGCUAGCAAUUAUGCCCUCCAAUUUUGGGUAUGCAUAAAUAGGCACCUUAACUUGUCUUCACUUUAUUAGUGGACACUCCAAUUUAUAAAAUGAUUAUCUAGAAAUUUCCAAAAUUAAUAUGUUAUAUUAGUAUUUGUGUUGUUUGCUUUAUGCAUUCAGCUUUUAUACAAGUUGAGGUGUUUACUUGUGCAUCCAAAAUCAAAAGGCAAACUUAUCAGCUGAGACCAAGUUUGAGGGCUCAUUUAUAUAUUAUACUUUUUUAAGUAUUAUACCUUGGACCUAACAUAUUUUCGCCUGGGGCCCAUUUGGUUUGGUUUUAAGAUAUCUUUGUUGUUCUUCUUCUCUUCCAAUGUAGUAAAUUGAUAUUUGUAUAUAAAUCAACUCAACUGUGUCUAUCACAAAAUAUAAAAUGAGGAAAAGUGUAAAAUUCGGUCAAAUGCAAGUAGAUGAAUUACCACAUAUGAAUACUUAUACGCAUCAAAACGUAAACCGGUUAUUAUGAGAUACUUAGCUGUUCCCUUUUUCCGGAUAAUUACUCAUAUGGAAAUUAAGUGGGCAUUUGGACAUAAGAAUUAUAAACGAAAAAUGUAUAAGUACCCAUUUAAUUUAUACCUGAAUUUUUAAUUAUAUUUUUUUUGCGAGAAUUUAUUAAUUUCUAAACUUUUUUAAAUGAAAUUAUUUACACCUAUAAUACUAACAAUCAAACUAUUGGUAAGUGGUGAACUACACGCGUCCCCCAUAUGUAGUUUUAAUACUUUUUUUAUUCUUUCUUUCUUUAUCUUAUCAUUUUUCUUAUUUCUUGUUAUUCUCAUUUUUUUUAAUUAUUUCAUUCUCUUUCUUUUUGUUUUGGUCACCGAUGGCAUAAAAUGGUGGUCGUCGGAAUUUCACGAACACCAUUAUUUUCGGCAAAUAUUUUUUUGCGAAAAAUUUUAUCCCGAUCUAAGAGUGUUUUAUUAUAUAUAUAGACAAUAAUAUCUUAGUAGAAAGCUUAAAACGACUACGGUUUAAGAGGGAAAAAGAAAAAUACAAAAUUCCAAAAAAAAAGGGACUAGAAAAACAUGCUCCAGAUAAUACUUGGGCAGUAAAAAGAUAUCUCUCUCUAACACCGCCUACAAGUAAUAAUCAUUGACGAAAAAUAUGGCGUGGAACUAGGAAGCUUCCGAGUUAUCUACAGUCUAUUCAACUAUCACCCAGGAGAGCCCAUAAACCAAUGCAAAAGUCACCCUAAAAACUGAAUAACAACAAGGUGUCCUAACCAGCUAAUAAAUGAUAACCAUGAAAAACAAAAUGGGACAGGUAAACAACGAUAACAGUAAUUACUUGGAAAGGACAACCCUAUAUAAAAGGACCAAACAGAGGGAAUAUGUAACAGUGACAAUGGUCACAACAAUCCGAAUAGUCAAAAUCAUUAACUGUAUGUCUUCCAAGGCAAUCAGAUCUGGUAAUGAUAAAAU
Molecule: long non-coding RNA, 5455 nt
Filed under: Nicotiana benthamiana
Lineage: Eukaryota; Viridiplantae; Streptophyta; Magnoliopsida; Solanales; Solanaceae
Description: long non-coding RNA (NBEN_LNC041922)
Source: RNAcentral